RNAcentral lists this ribosomal RNA (445 nucleotides) under uncultured bacterium. Its description in RNAcentral is "SSU rRNA". It matches the Rfam family "Bacterial small subunit ribosomal RNA", at positions 26 to 518 of the family's 1533-position model. The record is from RNAcentral.
AGGAUGAACGCUGGCGGUCUGCUUAACACAUGCAAGUCGAACGGAGUAGCAAUACUUAGUGGCGGACGGGUGAGUAACGCGUGAGAAUCUACCUUCAGGACGGAGACAACAGUUGGAAACGACUGCUAACCCCCGAUGUACUGAAAAGGCAAAUAUUUAUAGCCUGAAGAAGAGCUCGCGUCCGAUUAGCUAGUUGGAGAGGUAAAAGCUCACCAAGGCGACGAUCGGUAGCUGGUCUGAGAGGACGAUCAGCCACACUGGGACUGAGACACGGCCCAGACUCCUACGGGAGGCAGCAGUGGGAAUUUUCCGCAAUGGGCGAAAGCCUGAUCCAGCUAGAUCGCGUGGGUGAUGAAGACUGUCUUGGUUGUAAAGCCCUUUACUUAAACAGAGAUUAUGACAAAGUUUAAGAAAAAAGUCCCGGACAAUUCGCGCCAGCAGCCGC